This 1783-nucleotide unclassified non-coding RNA is filed under the name Haliotis rubra (blacklip abalone). RNAcentral describes it as "proteoglycan 4-like, transcript variant X2". The record is from RNAcentral. Lineage: Eukaryota; Metazoa; Mollusca; Gastropoda; Lepetellida; Haliotidae.
CGAUCACACGGCUAUAUCACGUGUGUACAACAAGGAAGUAUAUUCUGCAGGUCGGAUGUCUAAUGGCGGUUGACGUCAUGUACAGGGUCGGAAAGUCGCACCUGCUAGAAAGAAGAAUGAAUACGUGUGAUCUUCUUUGUCUUCUGAUCUUCAUGACCCUCCUCUCUGGAACCACUGGGGCAAGCCUGACCGCUUCACCAAGCCAAAUAGCAAUCGGGGGCAGUAACCCAACAUCUCAGUUGACUGUAAGUUGCAGGCCAGAUGCACCUGGAAUAACUACAUUGUAUAACAUGGAGAUUGGCAAGAAGUCUUCUGCUGGCUUUGAUCAGCCUAUAAUACGAUUGACCAACACAGAUACGUCAGUACAAGUAGUGGACACAAGUCUACAGCAGCGGAUGACAGCCUCAGGUUCUAUCAGUGGAGCAACAGGCAGUAUACAGUUCAUCCUGACAGAUCUGAGAUCUGCUGAUGCUGCUUCUACAUACUACUGCAACGUUAUACUUGGCGGGAUCAGCUGAAACUGAUGAGGCUACGGCCAACAUCACAGCUAGAACUUAUCCAGAGCAAAUAGAGAUGUUCCCCACUCCUGACAGGGUCCAGUAUGACGAUGGUCAACUCUUGUCAAUGAGAUGUACAGGCAGGAUCGGGAACCAGUUUGAUGAGAACAACCUCCAGAACCUGUGGACAUGGGAGUGGCGAUCUGGAAACAACGAGUUCGCCUCCUGGACACGAUACCCGAACAACCAAAAUAUCACCUACGACCGUCCUACUUCAGUAGCGGAAUGUCAAUAUACAGGGGCGUCAACGCUGGUUCAUACAGUCUCGAAUCUUGACAAUGGGAGACAGUUCAGGUGUUCUGUCAUAAGUGAAGAAUACAGUGCAAACAAGACUGUUUAUGUUGUUGGUCAACAACCACCACGACCAACAACUCCUGCCGAAACACCUACAAAUGGUCAACAACCACCACGACCAACAACUCCUGCCGAAACACCUACAAAUGGUCAACAACCACCACGACCAACAACUCCUGCCGAAACACCUACAAAUGGUCAACAACCACCACGACCAACAACUCCUGCCGAAACACCUACAAAUGGUCAACAACCAUCAUCACCAACAACUCCUUCCGAAACACCUACAAAUGGUCAACAACCACCACGACCAACAACUCCUGCCGAAACACCUACAAAUGGUCAACAACCACCACGACCAACAACUCUUUCCGAAAAGCCUACAAGUGGUGGAGUGGCUAUAGGUGUGUGUGUAAUGCCGGUCGUUGGUGCCAUCUGUCUGGGUUUUGCGUUCGUCUUCAGGGACAAACUAGCAGACUGCAUAUGAGGUUGUUUCAGGACCAAAGCACACCGGUAACGCAGAGAAGACAGUAGUCUCUAAGUGUAGGUGAUCCAAAAUCCAAGAAGCCAUCUACAUGAAAACGAUUCAAGCCAUCCUUCAACCGUGAGCAAGAGUACUACACAUCUCCAGAUUGCCUGCCAUCAACUAAUCAAAGACUCCAAUCAGAUAUAAUCCUUCUGUGUUUAUCUGUAUGUUUACACGUAUGCUAAAAGUGCUUCUCUGAUCUAUUGUUAAAACACUACUUCAUAUCUGUAUAUAUGGCUCUCGACACUACCUUGUACAGCUACUGCUUGAUAACAGUGUAGCUUCUACGCGUCUACAUACUCACAGUAAAUAAAGAAGUUGUCCAUCCAUAAAUACUAUCAUUACAAAAAUAAUAGAGUUGAUGCUGCUUCAAUUGACAAUACAAAUAAAGAAUAUUUAAAAAGUC